RNAcentral lists this unclassified non-coding RNA (348 nucleotides) under soil metagenome. RNAcentral's name for it is "partial contains 5.8S ribosomal RNA, internal transcribed spacer 2, and large subunit ribosomal RNA". The stretch from base 1 to 120 matches the Rfam family "5.8S ribosomal RNA", at positions 35 to 154 of the family's 154-position model. The record is from RNAcentral.
GAUGAAGAACGUAGUGAAAUGCGAUAAGUAGUGUGAAUUGCAGAAUUCAGUGAAUCAUCGAAUCUUUGAACGCACAUUGCGCCCGCCAGUAUUCUGGCGGGCAUGCCUGUCUGAGCGUCAUUUCAACCCUCAUGCCCCUAGGGCGUGGUGUUGGGGAUCGGCCAAAGCCCGCGAGGGACGGCCGGCCCCUAAAUCUAGUGGCGGACCCGUCGUGGCCUCCUCUGCGAAGUAGUGAUAUUCCGCAUCGGAGAGCGAUGAGCCCCUGCCGUUAAACCCCCAACUUUCCAAGGUUGACCUCAGAUCAGGUAGGAAUACCCGCUGAACUUAAGCAUAUCAAUAAGCGGAGGA